RNAcentral lists this ribosomal RNA (253 nucleotides) under uncultured bacterium. RNAcentral's name for it is "partial 16S ribosomal RNA". It matches the Rfam family "Bacterial small subunit ribosomal RNA", at positions 524 to 776 of the family's 1533-position model. The record is from RNAcentral.
UACGAGGGGGGCAAGCGUUGUUCGGAAUUAUUGGGCGUAAAGGGCGCGUAGGCGGCCUGCUAAGUCGAACGUGAAAUCCCCGGGCUCAACCCGGGAACUGCGUCCGAUACUGACAGGCUUGAAUCCGGGAGAGGGAUGCGGAAUUCCAGGUGUAGCGGUGAAAUGCGUAGAUAUCUGGAGGAACACCGGUGGCGAAGGCGGCAUCCUGGACCGGCAUUGACGCUGAGGCGCGAAAGCCAGGGGAGCAAACGGG